Molecule: ribosomal RNA, 387 nt
Filed under: uncultured bacterium
Lineage: Bacteria
Description: bacterial SSU rRNA
Rfam family: Bacterial small subunit ribosomal RNA
Source: RNAcentral
GACGAACGCUGGCGGCGUGCUUAACACAUGCAAGUCGAGCGGUAAGGCCCUUUCGGGGGUACACGAGCGGCGAACGGGUGAGUAACACGUGGGUGACCUGCCCUUAGCUCUGGGAUAAGCCUGGGAAACUGGGUCUAAUACCGGAUAUGACUCCAUGACGCAUGUUGUGGGGUGGAAAGCCUUGUGCGGCUAGGGAUGGGCCCGCGGCCUAUCAGCUUGUUGGUGGGGUGAGGCCUACCAAGGCGACGACGGGUAGCCGGCCUGAGAGGGCGACCGGCCACACUGGGACUGAGACGCGGCCCAGACUCCUACGGGAGGCAGCAGUGGGGAAUCUUGCGCAAUGGGCGAAAGCCUGACGCAGCGACGCCGCGUGAGGGAUGACGGCCU